RNAcentral lists this unclassified non-coding RNA (286 nucleotides) under plant metagenome. RNAcentral describes it as "partial contains small subunit ribosomal RNA, internal transcribed spacer 1, and 5.8S ribosomal RNA". The stretch from base 1 to 55 matches the Rfam family "Eukaryotic small subunit ribosomal RNA", at positions 1778 to 1831 of the family's 1831-position model. The record is from RNAcentral.
GGAAGUAAAAGUCGUAAACAAGGUUUCCGUAGGUGAACCUGCGGAAGGAUCAUUAUUGUAUAACCGAGGUGCGAGGGCUGUCGCUGACCCGAAAGGUCGUGCACGCCCGAGUGCCCUCACACACAUCCACCUCACCCCUAUGUGCACCACCGCGUGGGUCCCCCUUUGGCUUGUUCGGAGGGGGGCUUACGUUUUCACACAAACUUUGUAUGCAGUGUAGAAUGUAUUUUUUGUUUUUGCGAUCACGCAAUCAAUACAACUUUCAACAACGGAUCUCUUGGCUCUC